GACGAACGCUGGCGGCGUGCCUAAUACAUGCAAGUCGAGCGGACUGUCAGGAGUGCUUGCACUCCGGAAGGUUAGCGGCGGACGGGUGAGUAACACGGAGGCAACCUGCCCAUAAGACCGGUAUAACAUGCGGAAACGAAUUCUAAUACCGGAUAGACGGACUUCUCGCAGUAGGGGAGCGGGAAAGGGGGAGCAAACAGCCGCUGAAGGAUGGGCCGGCGGCGCAGUAGCUGGUUGAGGGGGUAACGGCCUACCAAGGCGACGAGGCGUAGCCGACCUGAGAGGUUGCUCUGCCACACUGGUGCUGAGACACGGCCCAGACUCCUACGGGAGGCCGCAGUCGGGAAUCUUCCGCAAUGGACGAAAGUCUGACGGAGCAACGCCGCGUGAGUGAGGAAGGCCUUCGGGUCGUAAAGCUCUGUUGCCAGGGAAGAACGGGUAGGGGAGUAACUGCCCUUGCCAUGACGGUACCUGAGAAGAAAGCCCCGGCUAACUACGUG
Molecule: ribosomal RNA, 500 nt
Filed under: uncultured bacterium
Lineage: Bacteria
Description: partial 16S ribosomal RNA
Rfam family: Bacterial small subunit ribosomal RNA
Source: RNAcentral